AAAACAUCGCCUCCCGCAACACAACCUAGUAUAGGAGGUCCAGCCUGCCCAGUGACUACAAGUUCAACGGCCGCGGUAUUUUGACCGUGCAAAGGUAGCGCAAUCACUUGUCUUUUAAAUAGAGACCUGUAUGAAUGGUUAAACGAGGGCUUAACUGUCUCCCCUUUCAAGUCAGUGAAAUUGAUCUGCCCGUGCAGAAGCGGGCAUAAUAAUACAAGACGAGAAGACCCUUUGGAGCUUAAGGUACAAAAUUCAACCACGUCAAGCAACUCAAUAAAAAGCAAUAAACCUUGUGAAACAUGAAAUUUUACCUUCGGUUGGGGCGACCACGGAGGAAAAAAAAGCCUCCAAGUGGACUGGGAUAAAUAUCCUAAAACCAAGAGAGACAUCUCUAAGCCACAGAACAUCUGACCAUACAUGAUCCGGCCACCAAGACCGAUCAACGAACCAAGUUACCCUAGGGAUAACAGCGCAAUCCUCUCCCAGAGUCCAUAUCGACGAGGGGGUUUACGACCUCGAUGUUGGAUCAGGACACCCUAAUGGUGCAGCCGCUAUUAAGGGUUCGUUUGUUCAACGAUUAAAGUCCUACGUGA
RNAcentral lists this ribosomal RNA (593 nucleotides) under Mekongina erythrospila. RNAcentral describes it as "partial 16S ribosomal RNA". It matches the Rfam family "Bacterial large subunit ribosomal RNA", at positions 1810 to 2603 of the family's 2925-position model. The record is from RNAcentral. Lineage: Eukaryota; Metazoa; Chordata; Actinopteri; Cypriniformes; Cyprinidae.